RNAcentral lists this small nucleolar RNA (89 nucleotides) under Escovopsis weberi. RNAcentral describes it as "Small nucleolar RNA R38". It matches the Rfam family "Small nucleolar RNA R38". Rfam says of the family: snoR38 is a C/D box small nucleolar RNA conserved across yeast, human, Arabidopsis and rice. It is encoded in the intron of elongation factor-1 gamma in both pombe and cerevisiae. snoR38 guides the methylation of 2'-O-ribose sites in 28S rRNA. Lineage: Eukaryota; Fungi; Ascomycota; Sordariomycetes; Hypocreales; Hypocreaceae. The record is from Rfam by way of RNAcentral.
GACCGCAUAUGAUGAGCUAGCUUUCAAAAUCAUUCAGUUAUCCCUGUCUGAAAAUACUGUGUUGAUCUUGUCUAAAAUCUGAUCCGGCU